Molecule: ribosomal RNA, 901 nt
Filed under: Aurifilum marmelostoma
Lineage: Eukaryota; Fungi; Ascomycota; Sordariomycetes; Diaporthales; Cryphonectriaceae
Description: LSU rRNA
Rfam family: Eukaryotic large subunit ribosomal RNA
Source: RNAcentral
UUAAGCAUAUCAAUAAGCGGAGGAAAAGAAACCAACAGGGAUUGCCCUAGUAACGGCGAGUGAAGCGGCAACAGCUCAAAUUUGAAAUCUGGCCUCGGCCCGAGUUGUAAUUUGCAGAGGAUGUUUCUGGCGCGGUGCCUUCCGAGUUCCCUGGAACGGGACGCCACAGAGGGUGAGAGCCCCGUAUGGUUGGACACCAAGCCUGUGUGAAACUCCUUCGACGAGUCGAGUAGUUUGGGAAUGCUGCUCAAAAUGGGAGGUAAAUCUCUUCUAAAGCUAAAUACCGGCCAGAGACCGAUAGCGCACAAGUAGAGUGAUCGAAAGAUGAAAAGCACCUUGAAAAGGGGGUUAAACAGUACGUGAAAUUGUUGAAAGGGAAGCGCUUGUGACCAGACUUGCGCCGGGCGGCUCAUCCGGGGUUCUCCCCGGUGCACUCCGCCCGGCUCAGGCCAGCAUCGGUUCUUGUUGGGGGAUAAGAACGGCAGGAAUGUGGCCCUCCCUCGGGAGGGUGUUAUAGCCUGCCGUACGAUACCCUGACGGGGACCGAGGUUCGCGCUCCGCAAGGAUGCUGGCGUAAUGGUCAUCAGCGACCCGUCUUGAAACACGGACCAAGGAGUCGUCCAUUAGAGCGAGCGUUUGGGUGUCAAACCCGCACGCGUAAUGAAAGUGAAAUUAGGUGAGAGCUUCGGCGCAUCAUCGACCGAUCCUGAUGUUCUCGGAUGGAUUUGAGUAAGAGUUUUAACGGACGGACCCGAAAGACAGUGAACUAUGCUUGUAUAGGGUGAAGCCAGAGGAAACUCUGGUGGAGGCUCGCAGCGGUUCUGACGUGCAAAUCGAUCGUCAAAUAUGAGCAUGGGGGCGAAAGACUAAUCGAACUGUCUAGUAGCUGGUUACCGCCGAA